GAUGAGAUCUCACUGGGAUCUUGAAUCCCCUAAAGGGCCGUCGAAGACUACGACGUUGAUAGGUUGGGUGUGUAAGCGCUGUGAGGCGUUGAGCUAACCAAUACUAAUUGCCCGUGAGGCUUGACCAUAUAACACCCAAGCAAUU
Molecule: ribosomal RNA, 145 nt
Filed under: Bacillus cereus
Lineage: Bacteria; Bacillati; Bacillota; Bacilli; Caryophanales; Bacillaceae
Description: partial 23S ribosomal RNA
Rfam family: Bacterial large subunit ribosomal RNA (bases 1-128)
Source: RNAcentral